GCAAGUCGAACGCGAAAGGGUUUCGGCCUGAGUAGAGUGGCGGACGGGUGAGUAACGCGUGGGAAUCUGCCUUACAGUGGGGGACAACCCGGGGAAACCCGGGCUAAUACCGCAUACGCCCUACGGGGGAAAGGGGGCCUUUGGCUCUUGCUGUUAGAUGAGCCCGCGUCCGAUUAGCUAGUUGGCAGGGUAAAGGCCUACCAAGGCGACGAUCGGUAGCUGGUCUGAGAGGAUGAUC
Molecule: ribosomal RNA, 238 nt
Filed under: uncultured bacterium
Lineage: Bacteria
Description: partial 16S ribosomal RNA
Rfam family: Bacterial small subunit ribosomal RNA
Source: RNAcentral